Molecule: ribosomal RNA, 254 nt
Filed under: uncultured bacterium
Lineage: Bacteria
Description: partial 16S ribosomal RNA
Rfam family: Bacterial small subunit ribosomal RNA
Source: RNAcentral
UACGUAGGGUGCGAGCGUUGUCCGGAAUUAUUGGGCGUAAGGACGUCGUAGAGCGGUUUGUCGCGUCGGGAGUGAAAACCCAGGGCUUAACUCUGGGCUUGCUUUCGAUACGGGCAGACUAGAGGUAUGCAGGGGAGAACGGAAUUCCUGGUGUAGCGGUGAAAUGCGCAGAUAUCAGGAGGAACACCGGUGGCGAAGGCGGUUCUCUGGGCAUUACCUGACGCUGAGGAGCGAAAGUGUGGGGAGCGAACAGG